RNAcentral lists this unclassified non-coding RNA (345 nucleotides) under soil metagenome. RNAcentral's name for it is "partial contains 5.8S ribosomal RNA, internal transcribed spacer 2, and large subunit ribosomal RNA". The stretch from base 1 to 120 matches the Rfam family "5.8S ribosomal RNA", at positions 35 to 154 of the family's 154-position model. The record is from RNAcentral.
GAUGAAGAACGCAGCGAAAUGCGAUACGUAAUGUGAAUUGCAGAAUUCAGUGAAUCAUCGAGUCUUUGAACGCACAUUGCGCCCCCUGGUAUUCCGGGGGGCAUGCCUGUCCGAGCGUCAUUGCUGCCCUCAAGCACGGCUUGUGUGUUGGGCCUCCGUCCUCCUCCCGGGGGACGGGCCCGAAAGGCAGCGGCGGCACCGCGUCCGGUCCUCGAGCGUAUGGGGCUUCGUCACCCGCUCUUGUAGGCCCGGCCGGCGCUUGCCGACACAUCAAUUUUUUUUCCAGGUUGACCUCGGAUCAGGUAGGGAUACCCGCUGAACUUAAGCAUAUCAAUAAGCGGAGGA